RNAcentral lists this ribosomal RNA (498 nucleotides) under uncultured bacterium. RNAcentral describes it as "bacterial SSU rRNA". It matches the Rfam family "Bacterial small subunit ribosomal RNA", at positions 28 to 526 of the family's 1533-position model. The record is from RNAcentral.
GAUGAACGCUGGCGGCGUGCUUAACACAUGCAAGUCGAGCGAGAAGGCUAUGACUGAAUCUUCGGAUGAGGGAUUAGCUGGAAAGCGGCGGACGGGUGAGUAACGCGUGGGUAACCUGCCUUGUACAGAGGGAUAGCCACUGGAAACGGUGAUUAAUACCUCAUAAAGCUGCAUUGUCACAUGAUGAAGCAGUCAAAACUCCGGUGGUACAAGAUGGACCCGCGUCUGAUUAGCUAGUUGGUGGGGUAAAGGCUCACCAAGGCGACGAUCAGUAGCCGACCUGAGAGGGUGAACGGCCACACUGGAACUGAGACACGGUCCAGACUCCUACGGGAGGCAGCAGUGGGGAAUAUUGCACAAUGGGCGAAAGCCUGAUGCAGCAACGCCGCGUGAGCGAAGAAGGCCUUCGGGUCGUAAAGCUCUGUCCUUAGGGAAGAAGAUUGACGGUACCUAAGGAGGAAGCCCCGGCUAACUACGUGCCAGCCGCCGCCGUAACAC